CAAUAGCGUAUAUUAAAGUUGUUGCAGUUAAAAAGCUCGUAGUUGGAUUUCUGGUCGGAAGCUCCUGUCCUCUGAUGAGCGUACAAGUGCGUCCUACCAUCCUUCUGUUAACCUUUAAGGCUUUCGCGGCUUUCUAGGGGCUCAGAUAUUUUACCUUGAGAAAAUUAGAGUGUUUCAGGCAGGCUAGCGCCGGAAUACAUUAGCAUGGAAUAAUGGAAUAGGACUUUUGCCUCUUCUGUUGGUCAUGAGGCUCGAGUAAUGAUUAAUAGGGAUAGUUGGGGGCAUUAGUACUUAACUGUCAGAGGUGAAAUUCUCGGAUUUGUUAAAGACUAACUUAUGCGAAAGCAUUUGCCAAGGAUGUUUNCAUUA
Molecule: ribosomal RNA, 369 nt
Filed under: uncultured eukaryote
Lineage: Eukaryota
Description: partial 18S ribosomal RNA
Rfam family: Eukaryotic small subunit ribosomal RNA
Source: RNAcentral